GGUUCAUUCAAAUUUCUGCCCUAUCAACUUUCGAUGGUAGGAUAGUGGCCUACCAUGGUAUCAACGGGUAACGGGGAAUUAGGGUUCUAUUCCGGAGAGGGAGCCUGAGAAACGGCUACCACAUCCAAGGAAGGCAGCAGGCGCGCAAAUUACCCAAUCCCGACCGGGGAGGUAGUGACAAUAAAUACUGAUACAGGGCUCUUUUGGGUCUUGUAAUUGGAAUGAGUACAAUUUAAAUACCUUAACGAGGAACAAUUGGAGGGCAAGUCUGGUGCCAGCAGCCGCGGUAAUUCCAGCUCCAAUAGCGUAUAUUAAAGUUGUUGAGGUUAAAAAGCUCGUAGUUG
RNAcentral lists this ribosomal RNA (344 nucleotides) under uncultured fungus. RNAcentral's name for it is "SSU rRNA". It matches the Rfam family "Eukaryotic small subunit ribosomal RNA", at positions 292 to 636 of the family's 1831-position model. The record is from RNAcentral. Lineage: Eukaryota; Fungi.